Molecule: ribosomal RNA, 468 nt
Filed under: uncultured bacterium
Lineage: Bacteria
Description: partial 16S ribosomal RNA
Rfam family: Bacterial small subunit ribosomal RNA
Source: RNAcentral
GACGAACGCUGGCGGCGUGCUUAACACAUGCAAGUCGAACGGAAAGGCCCUGCUUUUGUGGGGUGCUCGAGUGGCGAACGGGUGAGUAACACGUGAGUAACCUGCCCUUGACUUUGGGAUAACUUCAGGAAACUGGGGCUCAUACCGGAUAGGAGCUCCUGCUGCAUGGUGGGGGUUGGAAAGUUUCGGCGGUUGGGGAUGGACUGGCGGCUUAUCAGCUUGUUGGUGAGGUAGUGGCUUACCAAGGCUUUGACUGGUAGCCGGCCUGAGAGGGUGACCGGCCACAUGGGGCCUGAGAUACGGCCCAGACUCCUACGGGAGGCAGCAGUGGGGAAUAUUGCACAAUGGGCGGAAGCCUGAUGCAGCAACGCCGCGUGCGGGAUGACGGCCUUCGGGUUGUAAACCGCUUUCGCCGGUGACGAAGCGUGAGUGACGGUAAUGGGUAAAGAAGCACCGGCUAACUACGUG